ACUGACAAUAAUUGAUUAUAAAGUCCUGUAUAAUUCAGGAAAUAUAGCAGCUGGUUUAUUACUUGUAAAGUGUUCCAGACAUUUCCACCAUUAAAUGAUAAAAGAAUCACCAAGAAAACCUUCUGACCUCCAGCUGGUACACAAUGCUGCUACCAGUCUGUUAACCAGGAGGAAGUGUAACUGAGAGAAGUGAAAAUACAGAUCUAAGAGGAGAUGGAGAGAUUCAGGGAGGAGCUCAGAUGUUACUGAAUUAUAGAAGAGAGAGGAACUUCUAUAUUCAACAGAGUUCAACAUACAAACCAUCAACAUUACCUUCAUUCAACAUGCUGUCACUGCAUCAUUGUGUGUCUUCUCUCAUAUUUCUACUUCUUCUAAAAGGUGUCAGCUGUGAAGAACUGACUGCUGACAAGAAAGAAGAGUACAGUUUAGAAGGCAGCUCUGUUACUCUGUCCUACAAAUACUCCAGAACUGCAGCUGGUGGUGAUCAUUUCUUCUGGUAUCGACAAUAUCCAGGAAAACCACCAGAGUUCAUCAUCUCUCAUGUUGGUACAGGAACAAUAAUGAAUCGUCUGAUCCCUGGACUGAAGAUUGAAGUGGCACAAAAGCAAAUCCUGAUGCAGAUCUCCUCUGCUGCAGUGACAGACUCUGCUGUGUACUACUGUGCUCUGCAGCCCACAGUGACAGGAAACACCAGAACUCUGUACAAAAACCUUUGGAGCAAAGACAACACAACACAACAUGGCAGAUCUGAACUUCUUCCCUCCACUAGAGGGCCACCUUAUCAAAGUGUAAAGGAGAAGACAAAGUGAACCAGCCAACAGGAGAUGUCAUCGCUACUGAAGGACACACAGUUACACUUGGCUGCACAUUUGAGACAACUUCUUCAUAUCCUGAUCUGUUCUGGUACAAACAGGAUGGAAACAACAGCCCUACCUUCAU
This is a non-coding RNA of Cottoperca gobio, 939 nucleotides long. The record is from the annotation of a RefSeq genome assembly. Lineage: Eukaryota; Metazoa; Chordata; Actinopteri; Perciformes; Bovichtidae.